Molecule: long non-coding RNA, 720 nt
Filed under: Nicotiana benthamiana
Lineage: Eukaryota; Viridiplantae; Streptophyta; Magnoliopsida; Solanales; Solanaceae
Description: long non-coding RNA (NBEN_LNC003125)
Source: RNAcentral
GCUUAGUGGUAAUUGCAGGAGAAUUAAGAGGUCGUCCGAACAUAAAUGAUUGGAUAAGAAUUGACAGAAAUGUGGUUCUGCAUCUUUAUAAGGCCGAUAACCACGAAAGCUGAUUGAAACUAGUAGAGCUAAGUUAUGAUCGUUUGCCCAAAGAAAUGAAACGUGUUUCUUGUAUUGUGGUGUCUUUCCUCGAGGCUUCGAUAUUCCUUCUUGAAAAUUGAUUCGCUUGUGGAUAGCUGAAGGGUUACUAAAGCCUCAACAGAACUACACUCUUGAGGAGAUAGCUGAGUAUUAUAUGAGCGAUCUUGUCAAUAGAAAUUUAGUGAUAUUGCAGCAAAAGAGAUCUGAUGGUCAGAUAAAAACAUGUCGUCUUCACGACAUGUUGCAUCAGUUUUGCAGAACGGAGGGCAGUAACAAAUGGAAUUUAGCGAUAUUGCAGCAAAAGAGAUCUGAUGGUCAGAUAAAAACAUGUCGUCUUCACGACAUGUUGCAUCAGUUUUGCAGAACGUAGGGCAGUAACAAAUGGAUUUUUCAAGAAAUAUGUCCAGCACCUGACCAAGCUUCUGCUGUUACUUUGCAAUAAUUUUCUGUAUUCUUAUUAGCUUGAUCUUAUAUUCCAAGGUGUAGAGUGAAGAACUAUUUCCUUGGCUAUUCUCAUUUUUGAUUCAAAGUAUGUAUUAGUCUCGUUGUUGACCUUUGAUUACUUUUGCUUAUAUUCUU